This 492-nucleotide ribosomal RNA is filed under the name uncultured bacterium. RNAcentral's name for it is "partial 16S ribosomal RNA". It matches the Rfam family "Bacterial small subunit ribosomal RNA", at positions 30 to 507 of the family's 1533-position model. The record is from RNAcentral.
AGCGAACGCUGGCGGUAGGCCUAACACAUGCAAGUCGAACGGCAGCACAGUAAGAGCUUGCUCUUACGGGUGGCGAGCGGCGGACGGGUGAGGUAUACAUCGGAAUCUACUCUUUCGUGGGGGAUAACGUAGGGAAACUUACGCUAAUACCGCAUACGACCUACGGGUGAAAGCAGGGGAUCUUCGGACCUUGCGCGAUUGAAUGAGCCGAUGUCGGAUUAGCUAGUUGGCGGGCGAAUGGCCCACGAGGGCGACGAUCCGAAGCUGGUCUGAGAGGAUGAUCACCCACACGGGAGGUGAGACAGGGACCAGACUCCUGCGGUAGGCAACAGUGGAGAAUAUUAGGCAAUGGGGGCGAGCCUGAUACAGCCAGAGGGCGUGGGGGAAGAAGACGUUCGGGUUGGAAAGCCCUUUUGUUGGUAGGGAAAAGCAGCAGGUUAAUACGCCGCGGUACUGACGGUACCGGGAGAAUAAGCACCGGCUAACUUCGUG